AUCUCUUGAGUAUGUUCAGUACAUUUGCCUUCCAAGCAAAAAGAUUAAAUAAAUUUAAAAGAGAUA
RNAcentral lists this transfer RNA (66 nucleotides) under Potamopyrgus estuarinus. RNAcentral describes it as "tRNA-Gly". Lineage: Eukaryota; Metazoa; Mollusca; Gastropoda; Littorinimorpha; Tateidae. The record is from RNAcentral.